ACAUAAUUUUGGUCCUAAACUUACUGUUGUUUUUUAUUAAAUUUACACAUGCAAGCAUCAACGCACCCGUGCAUUUGCCCAACUCUUACCUAAAACUAAGACUGGAGCUGGUAUCAGGCACACUCUUUGUAGCCGAAAACACCAAGUAUUUCCACACCCCCACGGGCCUCAGCAGUGAUAGACAUUAAGCAAUAAGCGCUCUCUCAAGCUUGACUUAAUUAGAGUAAAAUUGAGCCGGUAAAUUUCGUGCCAGCCACCGCGGUUAUACGAAAGGCCCAAAACAACAGUCUUCGGCGUAAAACAUGACUAGAUAUUUAAAACUUGAAGUCAAAACAGGAGUUAAGCUAUAAAAUGCAAAAACUCUUCAAAAUCAUAUAGCUUCAUAUUAUUGACUCAUGAAAGCUGGGACACAAACUAGGAUUAGAUACCCUACUAUGCCCAGCCGUUAACCUUGACUAUAUUACUACAAAUAGCCCGCCAGAGAAUUACAAGUGAAAACUUAAAACUCUAAGGACUUGACGGUUUCCCAUAUCAAACUAGAGGAGCUUGUCCUAUAAUCGAUAAUCCACGUUGUACCCGACCCUUUCUUGUUAAACUCUUCCGCCUAUAUACCGCCGUCAUCUUGCUUACCUCUUGAGGGUAAUAAAUGUAAGCCCAAAUGUCUUUCACAAAAACAUCAGGUCAAGGUGUAGCUAAUGAAAGGGAAGUGAUGAGCUACACUCUUUAAAAUAAAGACUACGAACUAGUAACUGAAAUCUUACUUACAGGUGAAUUUAGUAGUAAAUUAAACUAGCAUAUUUAAUUGAAUCUUGCUCUGGGAUGCGUACACACCGCCCGUCACCCUCAUUAUAACACUAUAAUAUAUUAAAUAAUUACUAAUUGUUUAAAAAAUGAGGCAAGUCGUAACAUGGUAAGCGUACUGGAAAGUGUGCUUGGACA
This 939-nucleotide non-coding RNA is filed under the name Aeluroscalabotes felinus. Its description in RNAcentral is "12S rRNA". It matches the Rfam family "Bacterial small subunit ribosomal RNA". The record is from RNAcentral. Lineage: Eukaryota; Metazoa; Chordata; Lepidosauria; Squamata; Eublepharidae.